CCCUAGAUAGGAAGGUCUGGAGGACGCGAAUUAGGGCAGAGGACUAGGGCCAGUUUGAGUCGCUAGUGUAGGGAAUUACUUGGUGGGGGUUUAUUCUUGUUAGGAGUCCGUGUUCCAUGUUUUAUUAUGAAUCUGUGUGCUUUCCUCUGUUUUAUAUUACUUAUGGGUGCCGUAUUGAUGUUAUGUAAUCUUGUGCUGUGCUUUACUAUAUGUUUGUGUGGUAUCUCGUGUCUUGAGCCGGGGGUCUAUCGGAAACAGCCUUUCUACUUCUUCAGAGGUAGAGGUAUGGACUGCGUACAUCUUACCCCCAGACCCCACUAGGUGGGAAUACACUGGGUUUGUUGUUGUUGUUGUUGUUG
This 359-nucleotide long non-coding RNA is filed under the name Capsicum annuum. Its description in RNAcentral is "long non-coding RNA (CANN_LNC014309)". Lineage: Eukaryota; Viridiplantae; Streptophyta; Magnoliopsida; Solanales; Solanaceae. The record is from RNAcentral.